CCGCCACCGCCACCGCCACCGCCACCGCCACCACCACCACCAGCUGGACUCCAGGAAGCACCACAAUUAUUCAGCUUUGCUGAGGUGAGCAGGCCUCACAGGGCAGGUGCCCUCAGGGCAAGACAUUAGGCCUUUGAGAGGAUGGGGACGAGGGCAUCGGAUGGGGAAAGAGCAGAGUUGUGAAGACCCAGGCUUUGGAAAAGAUCCCAAAAGGCUUUGAGUGACCAGCUGGACCCCUGGGGCCUCGUGGUGGCCAGGGGAGAGGCUCCGGUGCACACAGGGCAGGCUGAGGCGCUACAGGAGGCUGCUGGAGGCUCACAGGCGGCCCCUGGCCGCGGGACAUGCUACUCCAGGAAGUGCCAGUGCUCUGUCCCACAGGCACUACCCCUGCCAAGACCGUGUCAGGCUGCCCUUCUGGAAACGGGCCUGGACGUGUGCUGAGCUGCCCGCCUUCCCCCGGAGACCGGUGCUUCCUUUGUAAAGCUACCUUUGUGCCAGGGUUGCUUUCAGAGGGUUUGGGAGCCAGAGGGAGCCUUGCCUUGGUCUCGGCAGGAGCACCAGGUAACAGCGCUGCCACCAGGGUGGCUGCAGCAGUGAGCCAGUCACCUGACGUCUGGCAGGGAACCAAGGUGUGAGGGAAGAGAGGCCCUUCACUACCCAGCAAAGUGGGCAAUGGAUUCUGGGCCACAGGGGCUGCAGGAGCAGACGAGUGGGCACAGCUGUGGGUGGCUGUUGGCUGGACAUGGGUGGCCCUUGGCUGGACAUGGGCAGCCUGCCCAGAGCCCAGAGGUGCCGUGCUGUGCUGGGGAGCAGCUGCGCCUGGACAGGAAAACCGGAGCAGUUGGCAUAAGCUCAGUGAGCAGGAGGCUCAGGCCCUACACAAAAGGGAUUCGUGGGAGGGAGGGGCUGGGUGCGGGAGGGCCUGAGGGCAGGGGGCAGGGGGCAGGGGCAGGGGCUAGGAGAGGCCCGUGCCCAGGAGCAAGCCGGAUGCAGCUGGGACACCGCCGGUUUGGUCAGCGGUGACCUUGGACCAGGUACGAGCCUGCCUGGUCCUGGACCAGGCAGGACACGGGAACUGUUCUGGGGGCAGGUGCCUUGAGUCUGAAGUGGGGACCCUGGAGAAGCAGCUGGACACAGGGGUCUGAAGCUUCGGAGAGACAGACCAGGACAUGUGAGGGGCGUCUGGGACCUGGGGGGGUAGGGAACCCAGGCAAGCCCAAUCUCAUAGAAGCCAAAACAUAGGUGUCCCAGGCAGGUGGCCACUAGCAGAAGUGGCACUGCUGUGUGGCCAAAGGGGCUGGUGGCCUCCUGGCUUGGGGAGGGAGGGAGGCGGAACAGAUUUCCCAGGACCAUAAAGGAAAUUUGAGAAGGAAGGCGGGUCCCUCCUGUGGCUUCCUGGGAGUGGCCCCACCUAAGGUGGACCCCGGUGACAAAGGGUGGGGCGGCAAUUCCUGAGGAGGGUGGAUCCGCAUCCCUUGGGAGGGGGUGCCAUCUGCCCUAAAGGGCAGGCCCCCAACUCCAUCUGGGCUGGGAGCAGGGCGGGGGUUGUCUGGUUGUCCACCUGAGCCAGAUAAGAACAGAGCCAGAUGGCCAGGCUGCCUCAGGCCCACACAGGGAGGCAGUGACCAUGGCCCUUGCUCCACCUUGGGGCAGCAUCAGAAAGAUUCCGCCCGCCUGCUCUGCGGGCAAAGGUUGGUAACCUGAGAGAAACUUGGGGUGAUGGGCAGGUAAGAGAGAAAGCCGACCCACGAAGGGUGGGGCCUGGCGGGCAGAGCCCCUCCCACCUCCACCUCCCAAGGGUCUGGAGUUGGUCCCUGUGCCCCACCCCCCUCAGCGGGCAACUCCCUCGGCGGGUGAGCGCCGGCCUCCGUCGCCCGACGCGAGGCGGCCAGGAGCGGACCCACUUUCUCAGUUUGUCAGCCUAAUUGCCUUGCGCCCCAGGUGCUCUGGCUCGCAGCUGCUGCACAUGUCCCCUCCUCCUUCCCGCUCUGCAGGGCAGGGGGCGGGCAGGCAGGGAGAAGUCGGACCUGGAGGGCCCCACCCAGGACGGCGCACCAGUCCAGCCGGAAAACCGCUGGGCAAGCGAGACCCCACCUCCGUGAGCCACCUCGCCCGCGCCCCUGCGGGGAGCCACUUUUCCCACCUGUGUCCCAAGCCUGGGGGUGGCUGCCAGCACCCUCGCUCACCGGCGCUAGUAGGCAGGGAGCCGAGCCGCAGCAGCCGCGCUCAGCCCGGGCCUCAGCCUGCCUGGGCCCAGAACCCCCGGCCACCUCCGGGCGCCUUGCGCCCCCACCCCAGCCUCCGCAGGCCCCGGGCCGAGCGCCGGCGCAGGAGUUUCAGAUUUGCUCUGGGGCCGCCCCCUCAAGGCCGCGGCCUGGGUGUCCCACCUGCCUGGACUGAGCCCCCAUCGUUCCGAACGCAGUUCCUCGCUUCGCUCUUCCGCCUGCGCCCGGCGCCUCCUGGUUUAAACCCACUCAGGCCCCUCCCCUCGGCUGCCCCUCCCCUCGGCGGCCACGCCCUGAUCUGGGGGCGGUGGGCGGCAAGUGGGGCUGUGAACCCGCAGGGGUGCCCUGGAACCGGGCGGGGCGGGCAGGUACCGGGAAUCCCACUCGGGCCUGGCCAGCGCCCCAGGCGCACGCCCCUCGGCUGGCUGGGGGUCUGCGAUCACCCCCAGGGCCGGAGGUGGCUGCUGCGGAGGAGCAGGGUCCUCUCAGUUCUACCCCUGCCCCUUUCGACCCCUCCCCUAGAGUCACCGCGAAGGAACGCAGGCGGUCGGGUGCGUCCUGCCCGCCCUGACGGCCUUUGAAUGGAGUUUGCAAGGGAAAUGGGGACCUGCCAGCGGUGGUUUCGUUUUCCAAAAGCUCCCACGGGAAAACCUGUCAUCAGAGGAGCCAUGUCAACUGCCUGCCUCCGAGAGGGCCAGUGCCUCUGCCCUCCUCCUGGGUGCCUGCCACAUCCUGAACCCUCCAACCCCUCCAACUAGUGCCUGAGGCUGGUCCCUCCAGAAGCAAAGGAGGCGUGGCACACACUAGCCCAGCCAGCACGGCAGGAAGGCUCUGCCAUGACCUGGCCUCAGGGCAGGUCAGUGGGGGAACACAGCCUCUGCUCAGCUGGCACCAUUGUGCUGGGCACUCAGGGCUGGGGGAAGGAAACGCCUAAAGAGCCAGCAGGGGGCUCCCUAUUCUGGGUUGAAUUGUGUCCCCCUGAAUUCAUGUAUUAAAGUCCUAACCCCCAAACUCCUCAGAAGGUGACCUUAUUUGGAAAUACAGUCACUGCAGACAGAAUUGGUUAAGGCAAGGCGCAUGACAGUAGGAUGGGCUCUGAUCAGUGUCCUUGCAGAAAGGAGAGAUUAGGACACAGACAGACAGAGAAAGCUGAUGUGAAGGGACAGGAAGAAGGCGCGCUGGAGUCUGCAGCAGAGAGCCUGGGCAGAUUCUCACUCCUCGCCCUCAACAGGAGCCCUCCCUGCCCUGCGGAGCCUCGCCCCAGCGCCUCCAGCCUCCACAGCCGCCUGGCCUGCCUGUGGGGCUCCUUCAGGAGCCGCACGCAUAGCAGUCCCGAAUCCGAGAGCUAAACCUGGCAGGGGAGCUGGACUUCAGGGCAGGAGGAAAACCCUGAACCUGCCCCGUGCAAGCCCCAGCUUCUCCCAGGUUAUGGGAGGAGGAGGAAGGGGAGGAAGGCAGAGCCUUGGCUCCCAGGCUGGGUCAGGAGGUGGCAGUAAACCAGAAGAGAUGCCCAAUCUCUACCUGAGAACUAAACUUCUUUAUAUUUUGCUCUAAACAGGUAUUUUCUUCCCAGUAACUCCUAAGCAGGAAUCAUGAGCAGCACUAUGGUCCUAGCUGGGAGCGCCCCUUGACAGAGGAGGACUCCAGGACCAGCUGUCCCCCAUCCUCCCAGUCUCCUGAGGCACCUGCAAAGCUUGGGCCCAGCUGCCCUCAGGUUGCAGCCCCUCCUCACUGGCCGCCAGCUCCACCGGACCCCGUAUAGCCUUCAGCCUAGUGUCCUGCUUCUGAGCCUCUGACCAGCACCCUCCCAGAAGCUCCACCUCUUUCCGGAACACAGCUGAGGAGAGACAGGAGCACCCUGAGACCACAGCUUGGUCACAGCACCCUGCCCCCACCCCACCCAGCCCUGGCUG
Camelus dromedarius (Arabian camel) is the source of this 4138-nucleotide long non-coding RNA. RefSeq lists it as uncharacterized. The transcript has 4 exons. The record is from RefSeq and is a predicted model, not a curated record. NCBI's taxonomy places the organism in Eukaryota, Metazoa, Chordata, Mammalia, Artiodactyla, Camelidae.